AAGAAGGUGACAGACUGGUCAUGUGGCUGACUUGAAAUCAGCUUAAGGGGGUUCAAUUCCUUCCUUUCUCG
RNAcentral lists this transfer RNA (71 nucleotides) under Bombina maxima (large-webbed bell toad). RNAcentral's name for it is "tRNA-Ser". It matches the Rfam family "tRNA". From Rfam's summary of the family: Transfer RNA (tRNA) molecules are approximately 80 nucleotides in length. Lineage: Eukaryota; Metazoa; Chordata; Amphibia; Anura; Bombinatoridae. The record is from RNAcentral.